GUUUGGGGGAAGGCAUAAUCCAACCUCUAACACUAUCCCUUCAAAGAUUUAAUUCUGGAGCUUACUAUUGUUCACAAUGGAAAACUUUUCCAUUUAUUCAUUAAAAAAAUCUUUGAGGGGCAUCUGGGUGGCUAGGUCGGUGAAGUGUCUGCCUUAGACUAGGGUCAUGAUCUCAGGAUCCUGGGAUGGAGCCCAGCAUCAGUCUCUCUGCCUGGUGGGGAGUCUAUCUCUCCCUCUCCUUCUGGAAGUAUGCUCUCUCUCUCAAAUUCCCAAAAGGGAUGAUUAUUGGGAAAAGUCCUAUAAUGUUUAUGGUGAUUCACUCUUGAUUCACUCUUUCCAAGCUGUGAGCCAUGGCGAAGAAGUAACAGUGUGAGAAGAGUUUUCUCAGUAAUUUGGGCCAAGUUCAAAGAGAGAAACUUCUGAGACGUGGCUCACGUGCAAACUUCUGCGGCAUGGCUGGCUGUCAAGGGAUAGAGCAAAGACUGGCAACAUUCCAGGGAUGGGUAGUAUAGACUGACUACUCAGAGACACACCCAAUACAUUUAAUCUUCAAAUGUAUCUUCUUACUUCAUAAGGUGAAUAAAGAAUGUUUUCGUUUUAGUAUUUCUAAGAUUGCUAUCAUAAGAUGAGUAACUGAAAUUACUAACUCCUAUCACUAGCUAGAUAGAUAUGCCUCAACUAAAUAAGUUUAGAGAAGAGAAAUCUGCUAGAACC
RNAcentral lists this long non-coding RNA (714 nucleotides) under Mustela putorius furo (domestic ferret). RNAcentral's name for it is "lncRNA (ENSMPUG00000032064.1)". Lineage: Eukaryota; Metazoa; Chordata; Mammalia; Carnivora; Mustelidae. The record is from RNAcentral.